AGUGAACGCUGGCGGUAGGCCUAACACAUGCAAGUCGAACGGCAGCACAGUAAGAGCUUGCUCUUACGGGUGGCGAGUGGCGGACGGGUGAGGAAUACAUCGAAAUCUACUUUUUCGUGGGGGAUAACGUAGGGAAACUUACGCUAAUACCGCAUACGACCUACGGGUGAAAGCAGGGGAUCUUCGGACCUUGCGCGAUUGAAUGAGCCGAUGUCGGAUUAGCUAGUUGGCGGGGUAAAGGCCCACCAAGGCGACGAUCCGUAGCUGGUCUGAGAGGAUGAUCAGCCACACUGGAACUGAGACACGGUCCAGACUCCUACGGGAGGCAGCAGUGGGGAAUAUUGGACAAAGGGCGCAAGCCUGAUCCAGCCAUACCGCGUGGGUGAAGAAGGCCUUCGGGUUGUAAAGCCCUUUUGUUGGGAAAGAAAAUCAGCAGGUUAAUACCCCGCUGUUCUGACGGUACCCAAAGAAUAAGCACCGGCUAGCUUCGUG
RNAcentral lists this ribosomal RNA (492 nucleotides) under uncultured bacterium. Its description in RNAcentral is "partial 16S ribosomal RNA". It matches the Rfam family "Bacterial small subunit ribosomal RNA", at positions 29 to 507 of the family's 1533-position model. The record is from RNAcentral.